Molecule: transfer RNA, 77 nt
Filed under: Bacillota bacterium
Lineage: Bacteria; Bacillati; Bacillota
Description: Firmicutes bacterium (anaerobic digester metagenome) tRNA-Pro
Rfam family: tRNA
About the family: Transfer RNA (tRNA) molecules are approximately 80 nucleotides in length.
Source: RNAcentral
CGGGGCGUAGCGCAGCUUGGUAGCGCAUCUGGUUUGGGACCAGAGGGUCGCAGGUUCAAAUCCUGUCGCCCCGACCA